UCUCUCUCUCUCUCCCCCCCCCCUCUUCUCUCUCUCCCUCCUAAUAUAUCUACGGUAGUUACCAUUUUAUUUUGAAAAUUAUUUUCAUGCAUUUUUUUUGUUUUGUUUUGGAUAGACCGAUAUUGUUAGUGGAUUAACUCAGAAAAAGAGAGAAGGUAGUCUAUGAGAAUUGAACUCACAUUAAGGUACAUAGACAUAAUUGCUUUCAGCAUAAUUGUUUUCCACCAUUACAGUAAAGUGUUAUUUGUUUUUUAUUUAUAUUUUCCCAACGUAUGCCUACAGACUUUGUGUGUGAAUUUUUUUCAUUUUUAUUUUUAAAAUGAGAAGGAGAGAGGGUGACAAAGAAAGUGGGAGCGGGAGUGGAAUUACAUUACUGGCCAUAAAAAAAAAUUUGUGAUAGAAGACUAAAUAGUCAAUCACCCUCUUUUGGUUGACAAAGGGAGUUUUAUUAUUAAUUAAUACUAGAGAGACCAAAAUUUUAAACUAAAUUUAUAAACCAAAUGAUCUGUCACUAUUUAGAAAUAAGCAUGUUAAUCAAUAUUUAAAUAACAAUCAUCAACAACCACAUCAUUUGAUUUGCAAAUUUAGUUUAAAAAAUUUGGUGUCUCAAACAUUAUCCUUUUCUUAAUAGUAGUUUAGAUUAAUAACUAUCAAUUACUAUUGUUCAUAUCAAAUAGAAAUGUAUCAUAUCCAUUCCCAUAAAGGUCAUAACCGUAAAAAUUAGUUAUAUUUAUAAUUACUAAAUUAACAAAGUCUCAUUAAUUAACGAGUCCAUUUCAUCAAUAAAUAUUUUUUUUUUCUUAUAAUUAAUGAAACAAAUGUUUGAUUACAUGAUGUCAAGCAACAUUAACAAAAAAUUAUGAAUGAACGUAAAAUAUUAUCAACCUAACCAUAAAACGUCCACAUCCAAAACCAAAAACUAUAAAAAAGGUCGUACCCAGUGCACAAGGCUCCCGCUUUACGCAAGGUCUGGGAGAGGUGAAUGUCGGCUAGCCUUACCCCCAUUUAUGGAGAGGCUGCUCCCAAGUCUCGAACCCGAGACCUACCGCUCAUGGGCAAAGGUACUUGCCAUCGCAAAACCAAAAACUAUGAUUAAAAAAAAAGUGUAUAACCAAACAAUAUUGAAAUAUAGGCAUAGCUUUUAGUUUUGGUUCUGAUUAAAUUCUUGAUUUGAUAGUAUUUUAUUUUUACUAUAAUUAGAGAAAGAACAAUAUAUUAGAUAACUGCAUCUUCUGUCCCGAAACACAAUCUUUAAACCCUAAAUCAAGAAUUUGGUAUUGGAAAACCAUGAACUCGCAACUUAAUACAAAGAAUGAUGUAAAAUCCUUGAUGUGCUAACAUUAAGUUUCGACAUUGUGAAAAAAAAAAUAAUAAUAAUAAUUUCUAGCCAUCUAGAACGAAAAACAAAGAAAAAUCUUGUCUUCGGCAGGCACCCGUGUUUGGUCCUUGUUUGUCUCCUCUCUCUCCUCUUCUUCUUACUCAUGUUUUUAUGCUAAAAUUGUCGCCAUCAAAGUAGUCGUUGGGAAUUAUCUGUUUUUUGGCUUACAGCCAUAGCCAACACAAAGGUUUUGGCUCCACUUGUCACCUUCGAUAUGGGUUUGAAGCGCAUGAAAGCUCUUACAGUGUGCCGGGUUUGGGUUUAGUCAGUAAGGUACUAUGGUUUUAGUUGGUGCGAACAUGUGGCUAUCUUCGGGAUACAUACUGGUAGUACUGUUUUGUCCUUUUAGUUUGAUUUUGUUUAAUAGUUUUCAGAAAACUCACUAGGAGUUUGAUGGUUUUGGUUUUCCUGCUUAUGAGAGUUCUUUCAUUUUAGUUUUUUCUUGGUGUGCCGGAUCUCUUUCAUAUCUAUGUGCGAAAUGGUGAAGAUGUUUGAUUUGCUGAGUUUACUUAAAUUGGUGUUCUGGAGCCAUAGUGGUGAUUAAGUGAUGUUCGAUCCAUGAUAUAUCAUAUUGUAUGUCUCAACAUGAUUUCAAUUUUUUUUUGUUCUCAUAUAUGUUGGAAAAAUUAGUUAUUAGUUUAUUUUUGUUUAUAGUUUUCUUGUGGGACAAGGAUGUUAGAAUUUUCUAUAUCCUUUAAGGAUUAGGAUUGUGCCUUAGUUUUCUAUAUCCUUUAAGGAUUAGGGUUUGCUUUAGUUUUCACUAUAUAUAAUAGUGCUUGUAUUAGUUAGUUUUAACAAGUCAGUCACGAUGUAGCCUCUUAGGGUUUUGUAGCCCUUUCGGCAUUCUCGUUUGUUUAAUAAUAUUCUUAUUAUUUUGUUAAUCUUGUUCGUUUCACACUUUGAUAUUCAACUUGGUAUCAGAGUAGGUUUGAUCAUUUGGGAUUUAAUCUGCUUCGGGUUGGUAUCUGUUUGCUUGUUUUCGUUGUCAUUCGUGUUUAGAUUGUUAGUUGGUAUUGAUUGUUUGCAAGAAGAAAAAAAUUGUUCGUUCGGUUUUUGUUUUUUGUCCCGUGACUCUACUUCUGCGCCUUUGAACGCCGCAACCUGAGUAUCCGUAAGUCUGUAUUGCUGCAAAGGAAAAAAAGAGGGAAAAGUAGAAUGGAAUGAAAAAAGAAGGAAAAAAAAGGGGAGUAAAAAAAAAAGGAAGAAACAAGAAAAAAUUGGUUGCUUGUUUGAGGCCCAUGCGGGAAAAAAGAGAAAAAAAGUUUGGUUGGAUUUUUUGUUUGUUUGUUUGGAAGUUGGCGUUGGCAUUGGUAUCGGCAUCAACAUCGGCAUUGGCAUUAGCAUCAGCAUUGGCAUUGGCAGUGGCAUUAGCACUGGAAUUUGGAGUCUUGCAUCCGCAUCUACUUGUUGGCAAACUCAUGACGUGUACCGCCAUGAGUUUGACGGGAGGUGUUGGAAAAAUUAGUUAUUAGCUUAUUUUUGUUUAUGGUUUUCUUGUGGGACAAGGAUGUUAGAAUUUUCUAUAUCCUUUAAGGAUUAGGAUUGUGCUUUACUUUUCUGUAUCUUUUAAGGAUUAGGGUUUGCUUUAGUUUUCACUAUAUAUAAUAGUGCUUGUAUUAGUUAGUUUUAACAAGUCAGUCACGAUGUAGCCUCUUAGGGUUUUGUAGCAUUUUCGGCAUUCUCGUUUGUUUAAUAAUAUUCUUAUUAUUUUGUUAAUCUUGUUCGUUGUGCACUCUGAUAUUCAACUAUAUAAUCACUGUGGGAUAUGAGAAAAGAAAAGAAAUGCAUCGUUUGAUUGAUUGAAUGAACUUUUAAAGAUUCCUUAUCGAUCGAGUUUCUUCAUUCCAAACACUUUACAUGUUUGUUAAGGGAUCGAAAUGAUCAUUAAUUUACUAUCUGUGGCUCUCAACUCAAAGAAGAAAGUGUUGUCUUACCAGUCCAUCUCCUCAUUUAGUAUUUAAAGGUGGCUGUGGCUAUCAGUCUUUGAGGGACCUCCCGGCCACUCCCCCCAAACACCCAUAAAUAUAUCAUCCCACCCAAUGAAAAAGGUGGCAUUGCUUUUUUGUAUAUAAUGUUCAACGUUGUGGUUCACAUUCAGUAUUUUUUUCAACUUUUGUUAUGGUUCAUGUAACAAAAGAUAAGGUUCUCUCUCGUAUCUCUGUUGCAUUUUAAAAUAGAUAGGGUGACGUAGAGCACAUAUAGUUGUUGAGCUUCACACGUGGACUAAUCUGUUCUGAUACUAUAAAGAAAGUUAUGAUUCCACUAUAAAACUAAUUGACAAUAUAGAGAAUAACCCAACUUUAUUUAUAAGUCAUUGCAUAGUUUGGUCCCUCACUGAUGUGGGACUUUAUCCUCACAUUCUCACAAAACUAAUGACUAAUUAAGCCCACUUUAGUGAGGCUUGUUUUAGUUAUUCUCACGUGGUCGGUAUGUGUAUAAUUCACAUAUCGCUCAUCUUGUGAUUGAUCAUGUGAAGCAAUACAAUGUUGCUAUCAUAGAUAGCUUUAGUGGGCAAAAUAAAUAAUACAUGUACAUUAUCGUUGAGGCGUUCCAUACCAAUAAUACAACGACAUGUAUAAAUUUUACACUACAUAACGUCGUAUCAUUGACACAAAACAUCAUAAUAAUUCUGUAUAGAUGCCAUCUAAGUCCAUCUUCCUAAUGGGAUCACAUUUGAUAAAACAAAUAUUGUAUAAUUGCAUUUGUCCCACAUGUGCAAUAAUGUGCGAUAAUGGCUUCAUGGUCCAUAAACUGCAAAAAGCAAAUGGUGACAAGCAAACACAGUUUCCUCAUACGCUCACCACAUAAAACUAUAUUUCAAUUUUAUAAUUAUUAAGUACAGAAUCAUCUACAUUUUUAUUUAUUUAGGGUGCAAAGUUUUGAAACUCGCAUCCAAUUAUCGCACAGCUCAUCUACACCUUUUUUAUUUUAUUUUAUGUUAUUUGUUUUUCCCUUGGCUUUUUCUCAGCUUCUUUUUUGGAGUCAAAUUCAAAGACGCAAGCAAAUAGAAUACAUGCAAUAAUGUAAAGUUCAUAUUAUGUACAUCCCACCUAGUCCGAGAAGGACUUACGUGGUACAAGUUUAUCGAGAAAAGUAAAUUCUAAUAUUACUACUCUUUUCAAUAUGAAUAAAGUAGAAUGUACACUAUUACAUCGAGUCGCUUGACAAGAUAGUUGUGGCUUGUGGUGAAGCACAGAGGUGCAAGGAGGUACGACCACACCUUUAGUUGUCGAAUCAAAUUACUCAAAGAUGUGCGUUUAUGGGCUCAUGCUAAAGUGUUUCAAUCAAUUCCUGUCAAUAUAAGCGAAUACAAUAAAAAAUAUUUUAUUGUAUAGAUGUAUAGAUUUUUGAGAGAGAUACAUACUUAUAAUCGCUCUUAAGACCCACAUUUUCGCCCUUCUGUUGGGCUAUUGCUGCUUUACUGCGGCACUGCUACAUUUUGCCACCCUGCUGCGGCGCUGCUGCGUGCUGCCCUUUUUUAACACCAAAUCAAAACGACGUGGUUUUGAACCUUGGAAGCAAAAUGAAACUGCAAUUCCCUGCUCCCAUCACCAUUCUAUCUCCUACCAAUUGUUCAAUUCAGUUUCCUCAUUUGUCAUUUUUGAUUGAUUAGUUGGAAACAUAUGUUUUCACACACCCAUGAAUCUUUUAAAGGAAUUAGUGAAGAUCGGGAGGCAUAGAAGCUACAAAUUAGUGUAUAAGCUUUUUACAUUUAAUUUGAUGUUACCGGUUGCAACCACUUCUGUGGAGUAAGCAUUUUCUGCUAUAAAUACUAUCAAAACACCACUAUGUAACAAAAUAGGAGAUCAAUGGUUGAGUGAUAGUUUGACUGUUUACAUCGAGAGAGAUGUUUAUGCGUUUAUUGAUAAUGAGCCUAUUAUGCAACAUUUUUUAUAACAUGAAAUCUUCACAUCAACAAUUAUAACUAGGGGUGGAUUUUUUUGCCAAAUUGCCGUACCAACCGAAUUGCCAACCGUGCCAUACCGAUUUUGUGCCAAAUUUUUUGUACCAAUUGGUAAUGGUACGGUAUUGUACCGUACCGAAAUUUCAUGGUACAGUAUUGGUAAUGGAUACCAUUACCACGGUAUUACCGUACCAUACCAAAAAUACAAUAUAAUUUAUAAUUUAUAAAUUAUAUAAUAGAUAAUUAUAUAACACAUAUUUAUAAUAUUCCAAUAAUUUGAAAAUAAAACCCUACUUAUAUUAGUAUUGUUGUUGGUGACUUUGAUAUCUUAAAAUUGUGGAAAUCAAACACAAAAGAGUUCCUAAUUCUUUCACAAAAUAGCCAAAAUAUCUUUGUAACCCCCACUUCUACUGUUGCUAGUGAAAAUGCAUUUAGCCUAGGGAGAAAGGUUGUGGACCCUUUUAGGGUAUCCUUGACUCCUAAAAUAAUGGAGGCACUAGUGCGUACUAGUGGUUGACUUAGGGCAGAUGAAGUAAACUUCUACAAGGAACCAACGAAAUAUAUGCUUCAAUUUUACAAGGAAAUGAAAGAAGAAAAAACAAGAAAGAUAUGCUUUAAUUUUUUUAGUAAAUUUGUUAUUAAAUGGUUUUCAACUUUAAUUUUUCUUGCUACUAAUUAAUAUGCUUUCUUUGUUUGUAAUGUAUGCUUGACACAAACUCAAUCUUCUACAAGUUCAAUGCCUCUUCCAAAAGUUUCGACAUCUCAAGCUUGAAUAACUGAUCAAUGAAUUCUCCUUUUUGAAGUUUACUUCCAAUUUUCAUUUGGUUUGAAACUUUAAUUUCUAUUUGGAUUGUUAACUUCUAUUUGUUUUGGUUCGUAACUUCUAUUUGGAUUGUAAGCUUAAUUUUCAUAUUGAAUCUUGAUGCAUCAUUUGAAUUAUUAUGUGUGUGAAUUGUGAAUAAUGAAUAAUAGAUUAAUUUAAUCUACAAUGUAUGAGAUAAAGGUACAAAAAAAAAAGUUUUGCCCUUGAAUUGGGUUAAAAAAACAAAAACAGAUUUUGUCCCAAACAAAAUGGCAAUUACCAUUGCCAUACCAUGCCAACCGAACUUUUGGCAAUACCGAACUUCGGUAUACCGAAAGUUUGGUACGGUAAUGGUAAUAGAUUUUACUAAACCGAAAGUUUGGUACGGUAAUUGGUACAAGGGUUUUGGUACGGUAACCGUACCGAACCCACCCCUAAUUAUAACUUGUUUGUAUUGAUAAAUUAUGAACGACACUAAUAUUGUCUACUAUCUAAAAAGAUUUGGUUGUCUACAUUUUUCUUAAACCUUGCACCCUUUAAAAUUCCACUCCUUCCCCAAUGGUAGUAACUAGUUGGUUAACACAAUACAAUCGAUCAACCGACCACUCAUGUCCCCAAAAUUUGUCUUAUGUUAUUUGUAUAAUUAAAUGUCCUUGUACCAAACAUUUUUGUGUGUUAUAACUUAUCAAAUUAUGAAUCAAAACUUAGAUUUAAACUAACGGGUUUAAGAAUAAAUUGGUAUCGAAAUCAUGAUUCAAUUGAUUUGAAUUUCAAUAUCUCAAACAUAAGUAAUUCAGGAUUUUCACGUCGUCCUGAGUAGAACUUAUGAUUCACAAAACGUAACAUGGAUAUUGAUAAGAGCACAUAGUUUUACAUAAUCUAUGAGUACGAGCAGAUUCCUGAAAAAUAUGGAAAAGUAUAAGUGCAGUAUCAUCAGGACAAACACUUUCUAGGCAGGCACUGACUCAAAAUUUUAAUGGGAACGCACGACACAGACCAUAAAAACCCUAGAAAAAUUGUUGAGGGCACAAACAAAGGGGAAUGAAACUGGAUCUUCAAUAAUUUCCACUUUAAAUUUAAAAAUUAAAUGGUUUCUUUUAUUUAAUCAUGAAAAUGCAGAAUAAUGGCCACAUAUGUCUGCUUAAAAGCCAGCCUCAGAUAUCACCUACUGUAUAAUUCAGGUGCCUUUUGUUUGUGAGAGUACAGUGGAAGUGUGCGUGGAACACUGGAACUUACCUGGCCAGAGUCGAGUUCCUUCUUCCAGGCACGUAUGAGGAAAAUGUGGAACAUGGGACCGCCUGGCUCUUUUAGUAAUUAAUUUAAUUAUUUUUAAAAGCUAGUAUGUUCUUACCACUUAGUAUUACGACUUAGUGUUAUUCUUCUUUACUUGUAGGUAAGAAUUCUUAGGUUCGAUUCUCGCCAAAGACAAAUUUGAACCAUAUUAUUACUAGCCCAUUGUAAAGAUUAGCCUACUCUCCUACUCUUUUAGUGUAGAUAACAUCGUUUGUUUAAAAAAAAAAAAAAAAAAAAAACCAGUAUGUUUUUUUCACUUGUAUGUUUGAAUCUCUGAGUUUUCAAAUUUUGACUUAGAUUUGAAAUCAAUACAAAUCAAGUCAAAUCUUUAUAAAAUGAUAUGAUUUUGAAACUAUAUCUGUUUAUAUCAUACUUAGGGCCUCUGUAUUUAGACCUCGUAUAAAUACUCGGGGACUUAAAUGUAAUUAUGUAAUAAAGGAAGAGGCAAAUAUGUAAUAAGUGAGGAGCCCUUAUUCUAUAAAAUGACUCAUCACCUUCACAAUUAGAAGAUGACAAUUCCUAGGCCCUCUCACCCCCUCUCAAAGCCUCACUCUCAUUACAGAGGCUCUCAUACUCUCUCCCUCACAAUCCUCUCAGAAAUACAAUAUCAGUGUGGACUUAGCCCAAACAUUGGAGUGAAUCACGAUACAUCUUGUGUUAUUUAUAUUUUUUGCAGAUUCACGGUCUGAUUUACGUUGUUCCAAGACCUCCGAUUUUGUGCAUCAACAUUAUCAUUUCGUCUUUUCAACAUGAUUAGCAAACAAGUUUUUAGAUUUAGUUUCUAAAAUAAACAAAGAAGAAAAAACUUAAUACAACAGCAUAAUUAUCAAACGAUUUCUUAACAAGAGUAAGAAGAAAGUUGAAGUGGAAUAUCAUGAUGUUUGUUGGUAGAAACCUUGUGAACAUCUCCACCAGUUGGUGGAGGGCAAUGGCAAUUGAAGAGCAACGACAAUAAUGUUGCCUCACUAUUCAUUCUAAACAGUAAAUAUCAUUGUGCAAGUCCAUUCGUUUGGAAAGAGGAAGGACAAGGGUAAUUACUAUUCACAAACAAUUUUUUUAUUUUUUUAAUGUUUUCUUCGUCUUAUCUCCACGUAUCAUUAUUGCCGUAAUUUUAUAGUGUAAUUUGUGUGUUGAACUUUGUAAGAUUUUUAAAGUGUGUACAGUAUCUGUAAGUUUUUAAAUUUUUUGGUAAUUUUUAUGAUUUUUUUAAUUUUUUAUAGUUGAUUAAUCCUAAUUGUUGAACUGAACAAUUAUUUUUUAAAUCAAAGGCUCACAGAGAGCCACAUGGGUGGGGAAGUGGAAGAGAUGGUGAACAUUUCACGGAGUGUAACAGUUGACAACAACUCUGGGCUUCAAACAGGGCGCAAGCUCUUGCAGCAGCCUUCAACCCAAUUACCUCUCAUUUUGUAGACUAGUGAAGGAGAUUUUUGGCGUGAAAGGCAACUCAACCCAAUUGUUCUUGCAAUUGGAUGACUGGUGGAGAUGUGGAGCAUUUAAGUUGCAACGUCAGCAACGUCGGCAGCCUAUAUGUGUCGUCGGCAACGACAAUUCCCAUGAUAUUCCGACACGUGUUGCAGAUCCAAACGAAAAAAAUUAAUAAAAAAAAACUUAGGAAAAAGAAAUAUUUAUAAAAUAAUUCUGUGUAAUAAUUAAAAAACCACAAUAAUUGAGGCAACUCGUAUAGGCUAUAAUAAAAUGUUGAAAACGAGGUGUGAAGAUUUCUGGAGGGAGGAUUGGUGGCAUUUGGGAUCCUACUCGACUCCACACAUACAAAAAGUGCAGAGCUUUUUACAUGGAAAAGCAACAUCUUACUAACAAGUUGAAACCAUCUUUUGGUUUUUGAGAGUUGGUUGGAAUCAAAUCUUUAUAGGUAUCAUCAUCCAUGAUGUAUUGGAUUAGAAAACAAGAGCUUAGUUGGACUAAUAGCAAUCUGCCAACUUGUCAUCUUAAUUUUAUACUUAAUUUUGUUGUUUACAUCACUAUGUAGCACGAUUAGUGGUAUUUAUCCUUAUUCGAUGGUAGGAUGACUUAUGUUGACUCUCGUGAACGAUAAGUUCAAACUAAAUUAUUAUGAUGAUUGAUAUAUUAUGUGUCCAAAUCCCCCACUAUUUAGCAUGAAUAUAUUAUUAUUAUUAAAAAAAUAAAGAUGAAACACGACAGUUUAUUAUAUUUAUUUGUUUGUUAUUUUUACUUUUUGAACUGCUUUCGGAAGAAUUACAUGUGAGGGAACAAGAGGCGCUUUUCAAACAAAGAAUAAGCAACGUAAGUUGGUAAUUAUGCUGAUGCGACUACAAAUUGGUUCGAUACAACUCGAGUUAUGAAUAUAUUUUAGGUCAAAGUAGGAGGCUAGAAAGGUGUUGUUACAUGAAGAGAAUGUAAGAGAGCAAUAUUAGCAGUGGCUUGACCUUUAGUAUGCCCUAUGCCUAGCCUAGGGUUGAUUCAAUUUCAACUAUAUGUUUUGGGAAUUAUUAUUAGCAUUCCAAAAAUCUCAUUUAGCACUUCAAACUUUCUAUAAUUAGGAUAAAAAAUAUAAUUGUGAAGAAUUUAGAAUAAGAUUUUUAAAGUACUAAUAACGGUUCCUUAUAUUUUACUCAUCACAAAUUAUAGUAUCUACCAGAUAGUGUGGACCCCAAGGAAUAUGCAAUUAGAGGAAGAAUGACCCUUGAUCAAAAGGAAUCUCCAUGAUCAAAAGGAAUCUCUAUGGGCCCAUCUAACAUAAUAGAAAAUAUAAACAUCGUCGGAAUUGAUCAACCGACCUAGCUCUUGGAUUGGUGGAUGGGACUGUAUGUGUUCGGAUUGACCAAACCUCACACCCGGGCUUAGGACGCGGUCGGGUUAGGGUAAUUCGUCAAUGAAAGUUUUAAUGAACUUUUCUUAGUACUGUUUACUUUUAACGUUAAUAAUAUUUUUAUUUUAAAAAAUCACUCAUGGUAUUAUUCACUUAUAAUACAUUUUUGUCAUUUUAGUUAAAACUCAAAAUUUUCAAAUCAUUUUUAUUAUUUUUCCUUUCGUCAAUCAAGUUCAACUUAUACUCCUCUUAACAAAGAAAAUUUCAAGUGUAACAUGUGUAUACAAUCAUUUACUUAUCUUUUUAGGUGUAACAUGUGUAUACAAUCAUCUACCUAUCUUUCUCAUUACUGAAAUUUUGUGAUCAGUGGAGUAGCAAGAAUUGUGGUCCAAGAGGGGCCCAACACGCAUUUCUUAUUUUUGAAAAUUUAAGCAUAUCUUGCUUUCGACCAACUUUCGUUUAGGUUUUGAAUGAUGAGUAUCCACAAAUCUAGGACCUAAACUUGCGAUAUUACGCCCACAAAAUAAGUGAGGGAGUCAUAAAUUUUGGAAUGUGAUUUCCAUACUUCUUUUUCUCCUUCUACACUAUAUUUAUUCUGAUUGUUAAAUUGAAUAAAUCAGAACAGUAUUUACGAACAUUAAUACAUAAAAAUGUGUAGAAUGAGAAAAAAAAAUGUGUAAGAAUCAUUUUCCUAAAUAAUAUAAUAAAAAAAUAAUUGUGUAAAACCAUAGCGAAAGCUUCAAGGAAUAACCCCCAGUCUCUCAACCUCUUCCUCUUUCUCGCUAUCUACUCAAAGCUCCAUGGCUGCCAGCCUCCUGAACUCCACCAGAGCUCUGAGCCUACCAAAAAACUCAAAGCUAGCAUGGUAUUAAUUUUUUGAACCUGAGAAGAAAAAAAAAGAAAAAAAAAAGGUCAAGAUAGGCCUGAAACCAUUGUAGUCCUUUCAUAGCUCCGCCAAUGCGUGUAAUGAGAGAAAUAUAUACAUAAUUAUAUACAAGAAAUGAUAGAGAACUUUUUCUACUUUCCAACCUAUCAUCCAUGCAUAACUCAUAUCUCCAAUCCAUCCGCGUUGCACCCCUAUUUCUAAACUGCACUUCUAUAAGAGUUUGAACUGGAUCAAGUCACUAUAUGUUUGUGAUGGGCCAAGUUAACUUGAUUGGGCUUAUUCACAAUAAGACCCAUAUGCUAUUCAGCAACAACGUUGACUUAAUUUCCGGUGUUUGGACUGCUAACUUGAUAUUUGAUUAAAUUCUAUUAUCCAUCCUUACAUAAAUUAAUCCUAUUAUCUUAUUCCUAAAUAUAGCUUGUAACAAAGUCGUUUUCUUUUUAUCCGUAACACCUACGUUUAAACAAAGCAUAUAUUAAAGCCAUUAUUUUGUCACAAUGUCACAAGUGAAAAUCCCAAACCUCUCCGGAUCACCUAUAAAACGAAGCCAAUUUUAACAUGCCCAAAUCCUCCCCUCCAUCUCCCACCAUCUCUGCCUCUCAUCUACCCACCAUGGACGACGGCGGACAGCACCAUGGAUUUAAACUCACCCCUGAACUCAUCGGCCUAAUGGGCGUUGCAGCCGGAGCCAUAAUCGUCGCGACGUACCAAUGCCUUGUCAACCACAUUUGUUGCAGCCAAAUGCGCGUAGAAUACAACAUACAACAAGAACAAACACAAAAUGAACAUGAACAGCGUCUUCAAGGGCAUCACGUCAACCAAAACCUCAGAUCAACAACUGCACACAGCGUUAACUCGCCCUCCUACGAUCAGUUGAUCCCGGUUUUCAAGUACACCAAGGAAUGCAGAGAAGGAACCUGCGCCGUUUGUUUGUGUGAAUUUACCGACGGCGAGAACAUCCGUUUACUGCCGGAAUGUGUGCACUUGUUUCAUGUGGGGUGCAUUGACAUGUGGCUCAGCUCACACUCUAACUGCCCUCUUUGUCGAACUGAUAUUAUUCCUAGACGAGCACCGCAGCACGUUGUUCCUCCUCCGCAAGAUGUUGUGACUCCUCCUCCGCAGAAUACUUUGCCUUCACCACAACAUGUUGUGAUAUUGAUGCCAAAUUUCGGCGCGGUUCAUAAUAUGAGUACUUGAUCUUUGGAGUCAUGGAUUGAUGGCUUUUAUUUUUCAGUUGAUUAAGCUACUUUUGUUUAAAAGAGUGUAUCUAGUUAAGACUUGCUCAAAUUAGCGGGUGUUUUGCCGAAUGAAAAAAAAUGGAGGAGGUUUCAUGUAAGUGUGAUGAUUUUGCCGCUCCAAUUUAGCUUCUCACGCGCUCUAACUUACUUAGCUUAUAAUUAGGGGUGUGAUAUCCACACAUCCUUCUAAUUUUUAGUCGUCGGAUCAAAUGAAUUGAAGAAGAUCAACGGACAAAAAUUAACAAAUGAUGAGUAAGAAGUAAAAAAUAGUGUGUGGAUAGCUCGCCCCUAUAAUUAUUAUACACUUGUAAUGGCGAAACCUAAAAAUGAGAGUCAUUUUCUUUUCUCAUUGCGAUGGACUAUAGGAUUGGUGUAAAAGUCGUCCUACCAGUUGCGCGCCGAAUUAUAGUUGUCUCUCAAUCAAUCCAACCUGCCAAACUUGCACAGCGAUAGGCAUCACCAGUUGUUCUAUAGCUAGUCAACUUCAAGUUUUGUUUCUUGUUCAUCCGGGCCAUACUUAGUGGAACUGUGGCCCAAUUUUGUAUCUGGUUUAAUCCAGUCUGUUCUAUAUCCAUCACAGAGGACCCAAGUUCAGACAAGAUCCCUUAUUAAUAGGACCAAGACAAAGCUGGUGUAAAAAAAUACCGACUUCAAGGUUUGUGAUGUUGUUGAGUUUAUACUUUGGUUUACAGCUUGCUUUUGAUAAGGGUGAUACUAAUCUUAGUAUUGUUAUUGUUAUGUUGUUGAAGCAAACGUUGUUAAUUUCCAUCCUUUGGACACAAUCAUGCAUAGCUAUAUAUUAAUGAUGAGACAAUUGAGGAGAUGUGAGUUGAAACACAUUUACAGAGAGAAGAAUACUGUGACGGAUCAUUUGGCUAACACAUUUACAAAGAGAAGAAUAUUGUGACCGAUCAUUUGGCUAACUAAGGUUUUAAUAUGGAUAUUAGCGUUCUUGUAUUUGAUGAGUCUCUUGUUUGGAUUAGACCAGCUCUCAUAGAUGGUGAUGCUAGAGUCCCUCAGGCUCAGUUUGUGUAUGCUGAUAUUUUGAAGUUUGCUCUUUGAGUUGUAUUCCUCAUUCUUCCUAAAGAAAAUAUAUAUCAACUUACUCAAUAUCUAUCCAUAAAUUUUUCAGUGCGGUCAUAACUCUGCUAUGAAUGCUUCUAAUUUAUCCAUACUAGCCCGUAUGACAUAUCAUUGCAUUUAAAUUAUUUUUGACACCCCAAAAUAGUGAUAACACAUGCCUCGGUUACUGUUUUUGAAAUGAGAGGAAUGCAUGACUACGAAUUUGGGUUGCCAACAAUAGUUCUCUACCACAUAAAUAUAGCAAAAUUAUAUGUAUCUUGAAUGUGAGAUGUUCAUUUCCAACUAUUAGAAAGUACACUAUCUAAUAUAAAUUGUUGCGUAAUAAAUAAUUAGUGACGCGAGAGAAUGACUAACAAAUCAUAUCUCACCAUGAUCAUACUAACUGUGGUAAAAUAUGGAUCCAUCAUGAAAUUACUUGAAACUUGUCCUCAAACCCCACACACGUUCCCAUUAAUAAUUGCUCUUCACAAACACAAAGAAAACUCCACCGCAACACCUCAAACAAACAAAAACACAAAUAGAACUCCAAAACCUCACCCUCUCUCUCCCUCUCUCUCCCUCUCUCCCUCUCUCUCUCGCUCUCAUCAUGGACAGCGCACCCACCGUUCUAAACAAACCACCGCCACCUUUCCUCAUGGACAGCGCACCCACCGUUCUAAACAAACCACCGCCACCUUUCCUCAUGGACAGCGUACCCACCUUUCUAAACAAACCACCGCCACCUUUCCCAGCACCGCCUCGGAGCGUCGACUUCUCCGCCCUUGAAUUUAUCCUCGGCCUCAUCGCGGUUAUCACCAUCCCUGCUCUCGUCUACGCCUUCUUCUUCGCCAUCAAGUUCCCUCCAAACCCUUUUCGCCGGCGACCCCACCGG
This 14243-nucleotide long non-coding RNA is filed under the name Malus domestica (apple). RNAcentral describes it as "long non-coding RNA (MDOM_LNC003980)". The record is from RNAcentral. Lineage: Eukaryota; Viridiplantae; Streptophyta; Magnoliopsida; Rosales; Rosaceae.